This 446-nucleotide ribosomal RNA is filed under the name uncultured bacterium. RNAcentral's name for it is "partial 16S ribosomal RNA". It matches the Rfam family "Bacterial small subunit ribosomal RNA", at positions 338 to 795 of the family's 1533-position model. The record is from RNAcentral.
CCUACGGGAGGCUGCAGUCGAGAAUCAUUCACAAUGGGGGAAACCCUGAUGGGGCGACGCCGCGUGGGGGAAUGAAGGUCUGCGGAUUGUAAACCCCUGUCAUGUGGGAGCAAAUUAAAAAGAUAGUACCACAAGAGGAAGAGACGGCUAACUCUGUGCCAGCAGCCGCGGUAAUACAGAGGUCUCAAGCGUUGUUCGGAAUCACUGGGCGUAAAGUGUGCGUAGGCUGUUUCGUAAGUCGUGUGUGAAAGGCGCGGGCUCAACCCGCGGACGGCACAUGAUACUGCGAGACUAGAGUAAUGGAGGGGGAACCGGAAUUCUCGGUGUAGCCGUGAAAUGCGUAGAUAUCGAGAGGAACACUCGUGGCGAAGGCGGGUUCCUGGACAUUAACUGACGCUGAGGCACGAAGGCCAGGGGAGCGAAAGGGAUUAGAUACCCUGGUAGUC